GCCGUCGCGAGGCGGGGUCUGAAGGAAGCGUGGAUCAAAGGUGCGAGCCGAUGAACAAAAACCGGAUAUGAGGCGCAAGCGUCGGACGAGCGGGCGACACAUCGCGAAGUCCAGAUCCAUCAAGGAUGCGAAGCGUAGAUCCGGCGGUUGUGCACCGAAGGCGAUUGAGC
This is a non-coding RNA of Bradyrhizobium lablabi, 170 nucleotides long. Lineage: Bacteria; Pseudomonadati; Pseudomonadota; Alphaproteobacteria; Hyphomicrobiales; Nitrobacteraceae. The record is from Rfam.